GCCUUGCCGGCCACACACAGAGAGCUUUUUCGAGGGGUGUUAAAGAACGACGACGUUCCGCGCCGAGCGGGGGGCAAAGCCGAGAGAGACUCCGAUUUUUGCUCGAUUCUUCGUCGCCGUCGCAAGUGUGUGCCGCGCGCGGACCGAACUUAAUUUACUACGCGGAGCUGUUGUGUACACAGUGCGUAAAGAGCUCUGUCAUCGUAAGAAGCUCUACGCGCGAGGCGUUUUUUUUUCUAUUAUCAUUAAUUUUUUUUUUCGAUAAAUCGCGCGUGUGCGGGAAGGAGAGAGCUUGCACGCGCGUACCUACGCAUAAAAAUAAGCAACGUACACGCGCGUGUAUGCAUGCCUGCUGCGAUAGGACGUGAUGGUGAUGUGCAGUGCAGCAGCAGCAGCAGCAGCAGCCGCACGUAUCAAUGAUAAAAAGCGAAAAAUUGAUGAACGUUUUCGAAUAAUAGGACGAUGCAAGUGAAAUAGAGGAUUUGGUUCGCAACGUUACCCCGCUGAAAGGGCAUUAUAAGUGCAUGUGCGUCGUCGUGUCGAUCGUGUGUCGAUCGUCGUCGUCGUCGUCGUCGUCGUCGUCGUCGUGUGGUGUCGUCGUAGCCGCGCGUUUCCCCCCCGCGCGAGUGCAGUGAGCAGUGCAGAACCCGCCUGCUGUAGUAUAUAUACAUAUACAGUCAAAGAGAGAGAGAGAAAGAGACUGCACCGGAUCUGCACUCAGCAGCAGCAGCGAAGAAAUCGCUCGCAGUACUGCAGCGGUACAGAUAGCGAUCCUCCCCCGGUCUCUUCUCGAUUUUCGCGCGCUGCGCAACUGCAGCUUUUGUUACAUUUAUAAAUAAUAAUAUAAAUCGAUGUAAAAAUAAGUGCGUCGGUGCUCGUGCGGUGUGCGGCUCUUCGAGUGCAAAGAGACUGAUCGAGAGACGAAAUCGUGUUCUCAGCGCAGUCGGUUCAGCCAGUCAGUGUGUGUUUUAUAUAUAUAUCUAUAAAAUAUAUCGGAGCGCGCGGCCGCGAGUCAGACAGACAGCUACGUCGCGCAGCGGAAAAUUCCAAAGUUGGCGCGCUAUCGCAAGCAGCAGCAGCAGCAGCAGCAACAGAAAGAGUCAAGUCCGUCGUCGUCGCGCUAUAAUACAACGCAGCAGCAGCAGCAGCAGCAGCAGAUAUAAUACGCACACACACACACAUUCGGACGACUUUGAGUUACAUCGCAGAGUUGCUCGGCGCGCCGAUCUGCCAUACUCACAUACACAUGCAUGAAUUAUAUAUACGUAUAUAAAGCAGAUCUCUCUCUCUCUCCGUGAGCGAGUGAGUGUUUCGCAUACCAGUAAAAGUGCUCCGUAUAUAUAACUACUGCGUGUGUCAAGCCUCGCAUGCUUAUAUACAAAUACUCACGUAUUACUACUACGCUGCUCUAACGUUAUAGCAGUGUGUUUGCACUCGGACUGUGCGUGUGUGUGUCGGUGCGUGUGUGUAAGCGCGUCCACAUAAAUACAUACAUACGUACGUACGUACACGAGCUGUGCCUCGCUGUGCUCCGCUGCAGAGCAAAAGAGAGAGAAAGAGAAUUCGCCUCGAGCACGCUACUAUACGGAGGAGAGGAGAGGAGCGGCUAGUCCGUUUCUCUCUCUUUCGUUUUUUUUGCUCUCUCUCUCUCUGAAGACUGCGAGACCAGUAGUAUCGUGCGUGUGUGCGCGUGGUGGAUCGUGCAUAUAUCCGUGUGUCCGUGUGCCUUAUAUAUAUAUACAUACAUAUAGCUCGGCCGCUGCCGCCGACGACGCUCCAAUUUUUGCGCCGCGCGAUAAGCGCAGCGAAACAAGCCGCGCGAGUGUUGCAAAGUGAGUGUGUAUAUAUACGAGUCAGUGUUGUACGAUUUCGGCACGAAGAUAGGCCGAAGGCACGAGGAGGAGCAGCCGCCACAGCAGCAGCUGGAGUGGUGGCCGCCGCGACCUCACGACAACAGUAGCAGCAGCAGCAGCGGCAGUCCACCCUCCAACAGCGGCCUCACCAUUGCCGCCCAAGCCAUGGAUUUCGAGACCGGACUGAUGGAUUCGGUCAUACCGUUCGACUGCGACGGCGACUUCGGGCCGCAGCAGAGGGCCAGGUCGAACACGUGGCCCUGCCCGAGGCCCGACAGUUUCAUCGAGCCCGGCCAGGUCGGGCCGCCGAUCAAGGACGUCAUGCCCGGCGAGGCCGGGGCUCAGGCCGGUGCUCAAGCCGGAGCCACGGGACCGCUCACCCCCGGUGGCAGUGUCGCCGGUGGUGCUUCGGCCGCCUCCGCCGCCGCCGCCGGUCCAUCCGGUCUCAUACCGAUCAAGAAGAACAGCUCGCGUCGCAACGCCUGGGGCAAUCUCAGCUACGCCGAUCUCAUAACGCAGGCGAUCAGCUCGGCGCCGGACAAGCGCCUGACCCUGUCGCAGAUCUACGAGUGGAUGGUGCAGAACGUGGCCUACUUCAAGGACAAGGGCGACAGCAACAGCAGCGCCGGCUGGAAGAACUCGAUCCGGCACAAUCUCUCGCUGCACAAUCGCUUCAUGAGGGUGCAGAACGAGGGCACGGGCAAGAGCUCCUGGUGGAUGAUCAAUCCGGACGCGAAGCCGGGCAAGUCGGCGCGCCGACGAGCCACCUCCAUGGAGACGAGCAAGUUCGAGAAGCGACGCGGCCGCGCCAAGAAGAAGGUCGAGGCCAUACGCAACGGCAGCGUGGGCUCGAGCAAUCUGCAGGCAGCGGCGGCCAGGGCCGCGGCGUCGGCGGCCGCCGCGGCAUCCUCGAUCGCGGGAGGAGCGGCGGGAGGCAGCGGCGGCAUCAACGUGAGCAGCGGCGCCGACGAGGAUCCGAGUCCGCACAGCAGCGCCAGCGAGGGAUUGGACGUGUUUCCCGACAGUCCGUUACAGACCACUUUUCAACUGUCGCCAGAUUUCCGGCCGCGCGCUUCGAGCAACGCCUCGUCGUGCAGCCGACUGAGUCCCAUUCCGGCGGUGAUCAGCGAGACCGACUGGCAGCCGAAUUACACGUCGUCCUACAGUCCGGCCGAGGCGCUUGCCGGCAAUCUGGCCGAGUCGAUGAACAUCGCCUCGGGCGCCUACCAGAUGUACCAGACCUCGCCGCCUUCCACGAGCUCGGCUCAGCAGCAAUCGACGCAACAGCAGCAGCAGCAGCAAACGCAGCAGCAGCAGCAACAGUCACAAACUCAAACUGCGCAGACGAGUCAGCAACAACAGCAACAGCAGCAACAGACGCAGCAGCAGCAGCAGCAGCAACAGAGCCAGCAACAGUCGAACGGCCAGACCGGACCGCCGCCGUCGUACUUCGAGGCGCAGUUCCAGAGGAACAACGGCGCGAGUCUGUGCAACAGUCCGACGGCUUAUCACCUACCGCCCACGCCCCAGUCGACCAGUCAGCAGCCCAGGUGUCCGAUACAUCAUCUGCAGCCUUGCAGCUGUCAAAUGCAAUCGAACAUGAACCUCGUUUCCUCGUACCAGCAAAACGACGCCGUCUCGACUCCAGUCAGUCAAGCCCAAACUGCGGCGAUUCAGCAAUACUUGAUGCAGCGACAGCAGCAACAAGUCGAGCAGCAGCAGCAAGUACAGUCGCCGAGUCAACAACAGUCACAGCAGCAGCAGCAGCAGCAACAAGCGCAAACGAAUCAGGCGCAGCAGCAGCAGAUCACGCCACCGGACUCGCCGAUACCGAGCACGAUGAUGGGCCAGCUGAUGGGCGCACUGAACAACUCUAGCAUCCUGGACGACCUGAACAUCAACAUCGAGAAUCUGCAGGGCUUCGACUGCGACAUCGACGAGGUCAUCAAUCACGAGCUCCAGCUCACGGGCAAGCUGGAUUUCGGCCCCGUGGGCCUCGGUCCGUUCCUGGGCAACGGCCCCGCGACCGGCAACGGCAUCCCGGAGACCGGCGAGGCGAGCUUGGAACAAUUGGCCGCCGAAGCCCUGCAGCAUCAUCAUCUGACGACGGCGGAUCUGCUCCAGCAGAACGGCAUGAUCGUGACCACGCAAGCUCAGCAGCAACAGAACCUCGUUCAGCAGCAGCAGCAGCAGCAGCAGCAACAGAUGCAGGUGGGUAGCAACGCGGCAGCCGCGGCGGCCGUGUACGCCUCGAGCCAGGCGGCGACCCCUGCGACGGCCAGCGCCGCGGCCGCCUCGCCCUCCUGGGUUCACUAGCACUGGGUGCCCCUGCCCUCGACGCCACCGCAGCUGUCGAGCGAGCAGCCCAGGACUUACCAGGACUUGGCUAGAAUCAGGCUCUCCGAUGAACAGCCGAUGGUGCGGGGGCCACAAUUUGUGAUAAGAAAUCGAACGAGCCGCGACAACAGAUUGAGCCGCCAGCGCUACACGUACAACUACAGCAGGAAUCUACGCUGAUGACGACGACGUAGACGUAGACGACGAUAUCACGCGCCAAAAAAGAAGAAGAAGAAGGAAUAGCAAGCAGCAUCGUCACGCACACGGGGAGCAGCGGACACAUUCAUUUGUGCAGAGAGAAGGGCAGCAUCACGAUCAGCUGUGGCGCGAGACGAGAAGCCUACUUUCGGGCGCUUCGCUCGCCUCGCAAGCUCUGCUGCUGCGGCUGCUGCUCUCUUCCCCCAUGUACACAUGCGAGUACGAACGUGUAUCAUACGUAAGCUCGAGCCAAAUUAUAAUACAUAUUAUGUGAGUGGAGUAGCGCGUCGUGUAUCCGUACGAUGUCGCACCGCUGCUGACUUGGCUAUCGUCUCGUACUCCAACCCGAUGAUACGCCGAAUACGAUUUCAUUUGGACGACGAUGCCCUACAUCAUCGCACAGAUGAUGGGCCGCUGCUGCUCCGCGAGGAGGGUGCGUGCGUGUCUGUGUUGCGUUCGUAGCUUUUUCGUGUGUGUAUGUGUGUGUAGUAUAGGCGCGCUUUUUUUCUGUUCGUCGACUCUGUUCACACUACGUAGGAAUUAUUUAAUGCUAUUUAGGUCGUAUACUCUGAAUAUAUGUUACGUUAUGUUAUUAUAGACAUAUUAUAGAUUACCUGAAUUAUGUUGAAUCGUGCAAACUACUAUUAUUAUAUUUUAUGUUUAUUGAUUAUUGCCUAAUUUUUUAGAUAUCGUCUACCUAUUACCUAUAGUGUAUCUUAUACAUUAUAUUAUUGCCUUUUUUUCAUUGUUGUUGAUGAAAUCGUUAUCGCAUAGCAAUAUUUACAUUUAGACAUGUAAGCAUUGAUUUACAUUAUUAAGUUUACAAUCAUGCUCCUUAUUAAUUGAGAUUCUAUAUAUAUUAUGGUUUAAGAUAAUCAUUAAUACCAUGUUACUAUAUAUUGUAAAAGCAGUUACGUUUCGUCGUGCACUCGAGAAACGAGAUGAGUUAUCUUUCGUUCGAACGCGCGUUGUUUGCCGUUGUACAAUCGACACAACCGGUCAUGCCAUUGAACAAUUUUUGAUUUGCGUACAUCUACGUUUUUGUAAGAUUUUUUUUAUUGUACACGUCGCAGACGUAUAUAAAGACGAUGCAAUUAUCGCCAUCACAGAAGGUGGAAUGAUUUUUUUUGGGUGAAAAUCAUUACUGCGGGCAUUUUUUGUUCUAUCCUUUUCUCUCUUUUUUUAACUUGCAUAUAAUACGAAAAAUAGCUAACGAGCAGAGCGACAGACGCAUAUGCGUCGGUAGUAGGCCGAAAAUCUAUAAUCUUAUAGUCAUCUCGCUCAGCCAAGGUCAAUACCUAUACGAUGCGUGUGCGAGCGUGCGCGCUUCGGUGCGUAUGUGUGUGUGCGUGUGCGUGUGUGUGAGUUUGUUGGUACAUGUGUGCGUGAACAAAUCAAUAAAGUUUACCAUUGUGUCAGAAAAGAGAGGCCGUGCGCUGAAUAUACUCGAAAAAAUCGUUUGCGCGCCUCUACACGUGUGUGAGUGUGUGUAAAAAAGACGUGUGUACUUUGUCAAAAGUACUUUUACCUACGUGAACGAUGCUACUCUGCGGAAUCAAUCGUUGAAAUUGCGAGAUGCUAAUGAAAUAUAGAUAUGCAUUAUAUUACGCUACAUCGAAGUCCUAUGUGCGAAAGAAACACACACACACACAACUUUUUAAUCGACAAUAAUCUCUGCGAAAAAAAUCAUAUGAAUUUUUGUAAAUUCUUAAAUUUACUCGAGAAUAGUUACACUAUGAAAGUAAAUUAAAAUAAGUAUAUUGCUGUAUUAAUGGAUGUUUUAACGAAUUAAAAAGAGGCGCGAAUGCAUUCAGAAUUGAGAUGCUUUGCAUCAGGGCAGACCCGCGGGCGAGUACUUGUUAAAAUUGUGUUUGCGUAAUGUAAUCGAAAAUUGAUACUUAUACAUGGAUUCGAGCUUGCAAAAGAAAGUAAAAAAAACGUAGUGAACGCGGAAAUUUUUCGAGAUUCUUAUUGCGCACAAAAUGUAAAUAUGUUUAAAUCAAAAAAUGCUCGAAGAUUGAUGCCGUAAAAUAGCGUACGUACUUGUAUGACUGGAUCAAAUGAUGGAUGCGAUGCAACGCAUUCUUCAAUAUCAACUAUUACGCGCGCACAUACACGUAAAUGUUUUAUUAACUAAUUUAUGCUAUAAGGGUUGUUAUACGAUGACAAUAAAAGGUUUCAUGGCGAAAGCACGGAGUAGUCAAAUUUUGCGCUUGCUUUGGUAUAACCGGAAAUCCGAAUCAUUACGAUAUCCGUUUAGGACACGCACACGCGCAUAGCAUAAAAUGAAAUAGGAAAAUGCAUACGAUAUACAUACAUACUUAUACAUACAAAUAAUUGUGAUCGCGGGAAACGCAGAGGAAAAAAGAGGGGCGUUCGCUAUAAACGAUGAUUACCCGUCAUCGUCAAUGAUAAUUCAAUAAUCAAGGCAAGUUAAAUCUGGCUAUUACCCGGUGAGGCAACGUUAAGCACUUAUUUAUAGGGAAAAAUGUUCCCUGCAAUCGGUAGACAAUCAUCAUUUUACCCUAGAAAAUAAAUUAUACGUAUCACACAGACAUAUAUACAGACACACGUACACAUACACGUGUACACACUCAUAUUUAAACUUAGCAUUUAUUAUAAGCUUAUACACAACGUAGUGAAUUAAAACGAGCCAUACAUAAUAUUUAUCGAUUAGGCCCUGAAGAAAAGAUAUAAACGAGACGGACACACAAGACAACAUUUACACACAUACACACACACGUAUAUAUUUAUUAUUAUUGAAAUGAGUGCGUACACAACGAAGACUACCCCAAAAAAGCCAAAAAAAAGCUCUCGUGCGCACACGUCUGCGAUAAGUAGAAAGUAUAAUCUUAAUGUAGCAUCAAAAAAAUGUAACAAAAUUAUAUAAGACUUUGUCAAUUCUCAAUGAUUGUGACUGAAUUUCAAAUUACAUCAAUGGUAGUAGACGUCUCUAUUAUUAAAAAAAAAAAAAAAGCUGCGAGCGCCUUUUCACUAUCUUAAUAUAUUCAUAGCAAUCAAUUAAAAAACGACGUACGAGCUUUCACGUAGAUUUUAGAGAGCCUCUGCCAGUGUAUGUAAUAAUAAAUAUAUCGACGGUGCGCGACGAAGGAAAGUAAAAGACGUUUGUGGCGAUCUCGACAAGGGGCUGCGUAUUAUAUAGACACGAGCCACGGCGUGCAAAAUCAAUGUAUAUAAUGUAUGUGUAUGUGUGGGUACGGAGUAGCACAGCCCCUCUCGUCGCGUUGAAGACUCGAAAGAGACUUUUGUAAGUUUUCCGUCGCAAGCGCGCGCAAUAUUUGACUUGUGCGCGAGCACUUACAUCAUUUAUUAAUAACACACACAUGAUGUCUGUAGCAAAGCUUAAACGGCUGUGAAUGAAAACGAUUUCAACGAAGGCCCUAAACAAAAAAAAAAAAAAAAAAA
Trichogramma pretiosum is the source of this 7814-nucleotide RNA transcript. It is a transcript of the gene named forkhead box protein O, with no coding region annotated. Lineage: Eukaryota; Metazoa; Arthropoda; Insecta; Hymenoptera; Trichogrammatidae. The record is from RefSeq and is a predicted model, not a curated record. The transcript is spliced from 5 exons.